UACGGGGGGAGCAAGCGUUGUUCGGAUUUACUGGGCGUAAAGCGCGCGUAGGCGGAUCGCUAAGUCAGGGGUGAAAUCCCAGGGCUCAACCCUGGAACUGCCUUUGAUACUGACGAUCUGGAGAUCGGGAGAGGUUGGUGGAAUUCCGAGUGUAGAGGUGAAAUUCGUAGAUAUUCGGAGGAACACCAGAAGCGAAGGCGGCCAACUGGCCCGAUACUGACGCUGAGGCGCGAAAGCGUGGGGAGCAAACAGG
RNAcentral lists this ribosomal RNA (253 nucleotides) under uncultured bacterium. Its description in RNAcentral is "partial 16S ribosomal RNA". It matches the Rfam family "Bacterial small subunit ribosomal RNA", at positions 524 to 776 of the family's 1533-position model. The record is from RNAcentral.